AGUGAACGCUGGCGGCAGGCCUAACACAUGCAAGUCGAGCGGCAGCGGGUCCCCGCGAGGGGAUGCCGGCGAGCGGCGGACGGGUGAGGAACACAUCGGAAUCUGCCUGGUUGUGGGGGAUGACGUAGGGAAACUUACGCUAAUACCGCAUGAGACCCUGAGUCGACGGACUGGGGGUGAAAGUGAGGGACCUUCGGGCCUCACGCGACCAGAUGAGCCGAUGUCGGAUAGCUAGUUGGCGGGGUAACGGCCCGCCAAGGCGACGAUCCGUAGCUGGUCUGAGAGGAUGAUCAGCCACACUGGGACUGAGACACGGCCCAGACUCCUACGGGAGGCAGCAGUGGGGAAUCUUGGACAAUGGGCGCAAGCCUGAUCCAGCCAUG
This 383-nucleotide ribosomal RNA is filed under the name uncultured bacterium. RNAcentral describes it as "partial 16S ribosomal RNA". It matches the Rfam family "Bacterial small subunit ribosomal RNA", at positions 30 to 396 of the family's 1533-position model. The record is from RNAcentral.